Molecule: long non-coding RNA, 313 nt
Organism: Nothoprocta perdicaria
Lineage: Eukaryota; Metazoa; Chordata; Aves; Tinamiformes; Tinamidae
Exons: 3
Source: RefSeq, a predicted model, not a curated record
AGAGCAGCCACGACGAUGAUUCAUCCCGAUUCCUGAGUCCCCGCUUGCGUGAGGACAGGCCAAGCAGAAAGCAUGGAGACGUCUGAUAUGGCGACAGCAAAGUCCGUGUUCAGUUCAGCUGAAGAAGCGRUGCCUACCUCUUCCCCAGUGCUGUUUUUAGUGCUGGGGUGCACUGCUGGGCUUCCGCAUCCUGCCUGGCAGUGGAAGCAGCUAGAAACCACAAGGGACUGUCUUGGUGGUAUUUUUGCUCUGGACCAGCAGUAUUCAGAACGUCACUGGCAGGAGGCCAGUGCCAAAUCUUAUUUAAUCUUGG